Molecule: ribosomal RNA, 592 nt
Filed under: Entrophospora sp. CJL-2014
Lineage: Eukaryota; Fungi; Glomeromycota; Glomeromycetes; Entrophosporales; Entrophosporaceae
Description: eukaryotic LSU rRNA
Rfam family: 5.8S ribosomal RNA (bases 231-384)
Source: RNAcentral
GGAGGGUGGGGGGAUGUUUGGUUCCCCCUGCUUGGGCAGACUGGAGAGCAUGGUGUAACCACAUUUUGUGGCGUAAUUAUGUUUGGCCUCUGCUGAUCGAGCUUGUCACCUGAAUUCUACUACCCUUGCUUUUUGCGCACCCAUUGUUUCCUCGGCAGGCUUGCCUGCCAGUAGGACCCUUUAAAACCCUUUGUAAUUGCAAUCAGCGUCAGAAACAACGUAAUCGUUACAACUUUCAACAACGGAUCUCUUGGUUCUGGCAUCGAUGAAGAACGCAGCGAAAUGCGAUAAGUAGUGUGAAUUGCAGAAUUCAGUGAAUCAUCGAAUCUUUGAACGCACAUUGCGCCCCUUGGUAUUCCAUGGGGCAUGCCUGUUCGAGCGUCAUUUGUACCCUCCAGCCCUGCUGGGUGUUGGGCGUUUUGUUCCGCUGCACGCGUGAACUCGCCUCAAAUGCAUUGGCAGCCCGCCGUCCCGUGUGGGAGCGCAGCACAUUUUGCGCUCUCCGCUGCUGACGGUGGCAUCCACAAGUCUACCAUUUUACGCUUGACCUCGGAUCAGGUAGGGAUACCCGCUGAACUUAAGCAUAUCAAUA